AGGAUGGGUAGGGCUGGGGGGUUCGCCGUCCCCUAUACCGAAGGCGCAACGCGGGGCCAGUAAUCUUAUCGUGAGCUCAGCGUGCUGCAGAGGUCCCAUAACCCCUAUGAACUCCGCGCCGUGGAGUCUGCAGAGGUCGUGGACCUAUCGGAGGAUAGGAUCCUACGACCCUAACCGAGAUAACCUGGCCAGGCCCGGAAGGGAGCAACCUAUGCUCGGAUGCAGGCGUUCACGGAGUGCGGGGAGGAGGGCUUGUGGGGGUUAAACCUAUGUGGCAUGCUAAGCUCACGAUAGGAGGCCAAAAU
Molecule: signal recognition particle RNA, 305 nt
Filed under: Hestiella sp. (SeqCode)
Lineage: Archaea; Thermoproteati; Thermoproteota; Thermoprotei; Acidilobales; Acidilobaceae
Description: Candidatus Hestiella sp. signal recognition particle sRNA
Rfam family: Archaeal signal recognition particle RNA
Source: RNAcentral